AUGGUGCUGCGGCGAGAUGAAAGGAACAUUUCAACGUUGAUGACACUCCCUUGUUUGUGCCUCGACCACAAGCACUCCUUCCAACGCCCAAUUCCACUCCACCGAGACCGCCGGCUACCAGGAGGAAGACCUUGGCAGGGAGGCUUGGUCACGGAAGCAGCCAUAGCCAAGUAUGUGGCGCUCUUCCGCGGCCAGCUCCCCGACCUUGCUGUUUCUGCGUUGAGAGCUCUUUUUCGAUUGGAUUGUGAUCUUGCUACUGAUGUUGAAGAUGCCAUGUUAGACCACAGUGGAGUUUCUAUGAUUAGCUCUAUUCAUGUUGUUGUUGUUCUGCUGGUCGUUCAAGCUAGGUGUGUGUGUCCUCAACUACCCUAUGAUGUGGUCCUGGCAAGGCUGAAGAAUUUUGCGGAGAAGCCUGCUGAUGGCAUCAAGGGGGUCAUCCUUCUUCUCAGGUAUGAAGAUUACAUUACAGUGGACAACAUCUGCAUUGGCAUCUUUUGUGUCUUUGCGAACAUUUCUAACGUGAACACGCCCAUUUCCUUCAAGCUCACCUCCAUAUAUGAACCUACUAGAAGUGACCUCAAAGAUUCAUUCUCCCAUGAGCUCGUGAGCUCUAAGCCUCAACGGGGCACUAGAUGGCUUGUGACAGCCAUCUUCGUCGCUCCUUUCAAAGAAGAUAUCCAAUUCCUAGCUUCAGCGCUUUUGGCCUUUGGGGGCGUCACUGGACUUGUCACCAACUGCGGCAAGAGCUUGGUCGCGCCCAUUCGUUGUGCCAACAUUGACCUUGAUGACAUCCUUCAGGCAUUCCCAGUGGUCCGGACCUCUUUUCCCUUGCGGUAUCUUGGUCUCCCCUGUCGGUCACGAGACUCAAGCAUGUGCACUUCCAGUACCUUGAGGACAAAGUUGCGGCCAAGCUUCCACCUUGGUCAACUAUGCAUGUUGUUGCCCCCGGACACUCUGUUUUGGUCAAAGCGGUCCUUACGGCCACUACGAUCUAUCAUCUCACACCACUGGAGCUCCCUGCUGAAGUUUGGAAAAAAGAUCGAUAGCUUGAGACGUGCUUACCUUUGGGCUGGUUGUGAUAAGGUGUCUGGUGGAAAGUGUAAGGUUAAUUGGGAGCUUAGGUGCAAGCCCAAGAUCCUUGGUGGCCUGGGUGUGCUUAACAUCGAGAAAUUUGCGACCGCCCUUCGCCUCCGCUGGCUCUGCGACAGUGAUAGAGAUCUUUUCUCGGUGUCCACAAUUGUGACUAUUGGUGAUGGCAAAAAGGCCAAUUUCUGGGAAUCCUCUUGGCUAAAUGGCCUCCGGCCUAAGGAGGCUGUGCCUGAGAUUUUCAAGAUAUCUAAAAAGAAGGCGCGUUUGGUCGGCAAGGCUCUGGAUGUAACUUCUGGAUCCGACAAAUUGACAUUAGCCAAGGACUCUGACACAUAUCAAGGAGUUUGGCCCUUUGGGAGAUGA
Molecule: ribosomal RNA, 1452 nt
Filed under: Triticum aestivum (bread wheat)
Lineage: Eukaryota; Viridiplantae; Streptophyta; Magnoliopsida; Poales; Poaceae
Description: partial small subunit ribosomal RNA
Source: RNAcentral